Molecule: ribosomal RNA, 1100 nt
Filed under: Aphis fabae (black bean aphid)
Lineage: Eukaryota; Metazoa; Arthropoda; Insecta; Hemiptera; Aphididae
Also listed under: 1 other name
Description: partial 16S large subunit ribosomal RNA
Source: RNAcentral
UUUUUUAUAAAAAUAAUUUAUUUAUUUAAGGUUUUAGUAUUUAUUAAAAAUUAAUUUAUAGAUUUAUAGUUUAAUAGUAUUGUGAAAGAAAUUAUUAAAUUUUUAAAAGAAUUUAAUUAGUACCUUUUGUAUCAGGGUUGAUUAAAAUUUUUAAUUUUUUUUUAAUUUCUCAAAAUUUAUAGAGUUAAUUUUAUUAUUAAUUUAUUGUGUUAUAAAUAUUUAAAAAAUAAUAUUAGUUUUGAAAUUUAAUUCGUUAUAUUAUAUUUAGUUAUUUAAGAUUUAAAUUUAAUUUAAAAUUUUAAAAGUUAUGUUAAUUUUAUUGAUUAAUAUUUUAAAUUUAAAUUAUUUUAGGGAUAAGCUUGAAAUUUUUAUAUAAUAAUUUAUUUAUUUUAAUAAUUUAUAGGAAUAGAAAUUUUUAUUUUAAGUUUGUAAAAAUUUAUUAUUUGUUUAAUUUUAAUUUAUUAUAUUUAUAUUUAUUUUUUUUAUUAAAUUUUAUUAAUUAAUAUUUAAUUAAUAGUAAUAAUGAUUAAAUUAGUAUAAUAUGGAUAUUUAUAAAUUAUGAAUUCGGCAAAAAUUAUUUUCAUCUGUUUAACAAAAACAUUGUAUUAAGUUUAAUUUAAUAUAGGAUCUGCUCAAUGAUUUAUUAAAUAGCUGCAGUAUUUUGACUGUGCAAAGGUAGCAUAAUAAUUAGUCUUUUAAUUGAGGACUUGUAUGAAAGAUUUGAUGAGAAAUAAACUUUAUUAUUUAUAAAAUUAAAAUUUUAUUUUUAAGUAAAAAAGCUUAAAUUAUUUAAAGGGACGAUAAGACCCUAUAAAACUUUAUAAAUUUUGAUUUUAAUUUUUUUGGAUUUAUAAAUAUUUUAUUAUUAAAAUUUAUUUUAUUGGGGUGAUAAAAAAAAUUAUUAAACUUUUUUUAAAGUUUAACAUUAUUUAAUGAAUAUUUGAAUUAAAAUUUUUAAUUAAAGGAAAAAGUUACUUUAGGGAUAACAGCGUAAUUAAUUUUUUAAGUUCAAAUUUAAAAAUUAGUUUGCGACCUCGAUGUUGAAUUAAGAUUAAUUUUAGGUGCAAAAUUUUAAAUAUUAGGUCUGUUCGACCUUUAAA